UACAGAGGUCUCAAGCGUUGUCCGGAUUCAUUGGGCGUAAAGGGCGCGUAGGCGGCCAUCUAAGUCAGACGUGAAAUCCCCCGGCUUAACCUGGGAACUGCGUCUGAUACUGGACGGCUUGAGUAUGGGAGAGGGAUGUAGAAUUCCAGGUGUAGCGGUGAAAUGCGUAGAUAUCAAGAGGAACACCUGAGGUGAAGGCGGGUUGCUGGGCUGACACUGACGCUGAGGCGCGAAAGCUAGGGUAGCAAACGGG
This 253-nucleotide ribosomal RNA is filed under the name uncultured bacterium. RNAcentral's name for it is "partial 16S ribosomal RNA". It matches the Rfam family "Bacterial small subunit ribosomal RNA", at positions 524 to 776 of the family's 1533-position model. The record is from RNAcentral.